Doryrhamphus excisus (bluestripe pipefish) is the source of this 3498-nucleotide non-coding RNA. NCBI's taxonomy places the organism in Eukaryota, Metazoa, Chordata, Actinopteri, Syngnathiformes, Syngnathidae. The record is from RefSeq and is a predicted model, not a curated record.
UGAUGGCUCUCGGGGUCUUCUGACAUCUGCCCCAUCAGUCAUGUGUGGAGGGGGAGGCCCCGCCCAGUAUACCAUACAAGGUAUGGGAGGAAUGCACGGCGUGGAAGGCCAUCUGCUUCAUAAGGAGAACAUGCAGAGGCCAGAGGGGUCCCACACUGACGCUGACCAUGCUGAUGAUAGUUAGCGUUGACCUCCGUUGACGUCUCCCACGAAGGUACGACAACACAAACUCUUCUUUUCUACGUUUUGAAGCCGUCUGAUGAGCGAUGUGACACUCCUGCUUUAUGCUGGGAAUGUGUGGUGUGGUUUAUGCAGGAGGUUAGCGUGCCGGCCUCCAGGGUUGUAAUCCAUUUUGGGCAUCUCUGUGUGGAGUUUGCAUGUUAUGCAUGUUUGGUUCUAAGUCGUCUAUGGAUGUAAACGGGAAUGGUUGCUUCUCAUUAGGGUGAGGGGAAAGCUGGAACCUAUCCCAGGCUCAUCUUGAUGAAAAUAAUGUCAAUGUGCAUGUCACGUGUACGGACUGUCAGAAAGGGAAAGAUAAUAUAUCGAUAUAAUAAUUUUUUUGUAAUAUUAUAUGAAUCUCUAAUAAGAUAAUCAUAUUUUUUAUUUAGGGCGGCACGGCUGUCGAGUGGUUAGCGCGCAGACCUCACAGCUAGGAGACCAGGGUUCAAUUCCGUGGGUUUUCCCCGGGUACUCCGGUUUCCUCCCACAUUCCAAAAACAUGCUAGGUUAAUUGGCGACUCCAAAUUGUCCAUAGGUAUGAAUGUGAGUGUGAAUGGUUGUUUGUCUAUGUGUGCUCUGUGAUUGGCUGGCGACCAGUCCGGGGUGUACCCCGCUUCUCGCCCAAAGACAGCUGGGAUAGGCUCCAGCACCCCCGCGACCCUCGUGAUGAAAAGCGGUAGAAAAUGAAUGAAUAUUUUUUAUGUAAGCUUUAUAUCAUGUUAAGUUACCCAGCAUGCCUUGCGGUACAUAACAUUAACUGAUUAGCGUCAGGGCUUGACUCUUCACUAGGAGGUUCUCAGAUCUCCAUGUGGACUUUACAUGAUUCCUCCCACAGUCCGUUUUAGGUUCACUGAAGGCACCGAUGGCUGGGAUAGGCUCCUGCUUGCCCGUGACAAUGAAAUCCAAAAUGAAAUCCAUAAUGUAAUUCAUGUACAGCACAUGCAGCAUGUCUUUGGCUUGUACAUAAACUAUAUAUUCAUAGCUAAUAUAUGUGCAUUCAGGUGAUCCCUCAGAAACGCCGCUGGUCCACACGCCCCCCCAGAGGGAUGGGGGGAGUCCAGAGAGGCGUUGCUAUGGAGACCAAGCGAUGCAGAACAAACGUGGGGCAUGAGUCUGGUGAGGUGCUAUUAUGUAUUUAUUGUAAAUGUCACCGCAAGCUUUACACACACUUAACCGUCAUAGCAUAGAAAACCCUUUCUACAUACAGUUAGAGCUCCGUAGACAUGAAAUAACAACCCUAUAAUCAUCUUUACAUUGGUAUCACCCAAGGAGAGUUCCUUGUUUGUUUUUCUUUUUGACUUCCUUUUUCUGCUUUUCAUCAAUGUAACAUUACUGACACCUAGUGACCAGUGUUGAAUAGCACAUGAAAAUGUGUUAAAUACGCAUAUUGUUUGACUAAUAAUAACCAGCAGCGUGAUUUAUUAAUGUGAGAUGUUUCAGAUGGGAUGUUCGUGCGGCCAAGAGGUGAGUAUCAAACACACACACACACACUUUUGCUUUCAGAAUGAUUUUUGUGUCAAAGUAGUCCUUACUAGUCCUCCUAGUGUGUGUGUAAUAUGAGAAGGACCAGCACUCAGCCCCACAGGAAGUUAGAAUGAUGUCGGUCUGUUAGAGUUCAAGUCAUUUCCUGUUUAUCCCUCCCACGUCAAAAGCGUGCUGGCAGUACUUUCUGUCUACCGCCGUGCGUCCCUGCGGCCCGCGGUGCAGUGCUGCAUCUCUGGUCAGUUGCUAGUCUGAGAUGAAGCACUGUAGCUCAGGACGGAGGACCCACACGCCCCGGUAACCCCGGUAACCACGGUAACCCCGGUAACCCCGGUAACACCUGCCAGUCAAAUGGGUGAUGAGAUUUUCAUCUCCUCUCUCCUGGGGUCCAGUUUUCCCAGGAAUCCCUUCGCCUGUCAAAAAGGGGAUUCCUGGAAAUACUGUUCUUAGGGGCGGGGCCAAGCAACAAUUUCAUCAGUGUUAAACUAUGGUUGAAUUGUUUUGAUUAGUUUUUUUUAAAUGGUUCAAUUAUUUUGAUGAGUAUUAAACAAUGAUUGAAUUAUUUGUAUUAGUUUUUACAUUUUUUAAUUGUUUUCAUGACUUUAAACAAUGAUUGCAUUAUUUUAUUAGUUUAAAAUUAAUUGUUGAAUUAUUACUAUGAGUAUUAAAGAAUGAUUGGAUUAUUUUUUAGUAUUUAAAAAAUGUAAAAUUAUUUCUAUGAGUAUUAAACAAUGAUUGCAUUAUUUUAUUAGUUUAAAAUAAAUUGUUGAAUUAUUACGAUGAGUAUUAAACAAUGAUUGCAUUAUUUUAUUAGUUUAAAAUAAAUUGUUGAAUUAUUACUAUGAGUAUUAAACAAAGAUUGGAUUAUUUUUUAGUAUUUAAAAAAUGUCAAAUUAUUUCUGUGAGUAUUAAAAAAUUAUUGGAUUAUUCUAUUAGUUUAAAAUAAAUUGUUGAAUUAUUACUAUGAGUAUUAAACAAUGAUUGGAUUAUUUUUUAGUAUUUAAAAAAUGUAAAAUUAUUUCUAUGAGUAUUAAAAAUGAUUGGUUAUUCUAUUAGUUUAAAAUAAAUUGUUGAAUUAUUACGAUGAGUAUUAAACAAUGAUUGGAUUAUUUUAUUAGUCUAAAAUAAAUUGUUGAAUUAUUACUAUGAGUAUUAAACAAUGAUUGGAUUAUUUUUUAAUAUUUAAAAAAUGUAAAAUUAUUUCUAUGAGCAUUAAACAAUGAUUGGAUUAUUUUAUUAGUUUAAAAUAAAUUGUUGAAUUAUUACUAUGAGUAUUAAACGAUGAUUGGAUUAUUUUAUUAGUUUAAAAUAAAUUGUUGAAUUAUUACUGAGUAUUAAACGAUGAUUGGAUUACCUGUAUUAUAGUGUAGAAAAUGCAAAAUGAUUUCCAUGCGUAUUAAACAAUGAUUGCAUUUUUUAAAAAUAUUACAUUAUUUUAUGAGUAUUAAUCAAUGAUUGGAUUAUUUUUAUUCGUUUUUAAGUGAUUGUUCAAUUAUUUCCAUGAGUAUUAAACAAUGACUAAAUCAUUUCCAUGAAUAUAAAAACAUUGCUAAAUCAUUGCCAGUAUUAUAUAACAAUGUUUGAAUCAUUUCCAUGUAUGAAGCAAGGAUCAAGUGAUUCUAUUAAUAUGACAUGAAACAAUAAUUGAAUUGUGAGUGUGAUAUUGGGAGGCUGACCAAACAGAAAUAUGAUAAAGAUGUGCGACUGACACAAAGUCAUGAUGUAAAAGUGCUGAUGGAAGUAUGAUGUACUGUUAUAAUAAUAUUAUAACAAUAAAUCCCACUAAGUUGUCUCUCA